RNAcentral lists this unclassified non-coding RNA (261 nucleotides) under air metagenome. Its description in RNAcentral is "partial contains small subunit ribosomal RNA, internal transcribed spacer 1, and 5.8S ribosomal RNA". The stretch from base 1 to 46 matches the Rfam family "Eukaryotic small subunit ribosomal RNA", at positions 1786 to 1831 of the family's 1831-position model. The record is from RNAcentral.
AAGUCGUAACAAGGUUUCCGUAGGUGAACCUGCGGAAGGAUCAUUACAGAGAGGAGCUUCGCGCUCCAGGGGCUUCAGCCCCGACUCUCAACCCUGUGUAUAUCUACCACUGUUGCUUUGGCGGGCCUUGAGGUCAUGCUCAUGCCGGGCUCUGCUCCGGCGAGUGCCCGUCAAAAGCCCCCCUAAAACUCUCUUAUUAGUGUCGUCCGAAUUUUAUAUCUAAAUAAGCAAAAACUUUCAACAACGGAUCUCUUGGUUCUG